GAUGAACGCUGGCGGCGUGCCUAAUACAUGCAAGUCGAGCGAACAGACGCGGAGCUUGCUCCUCUGACGUUAGCGGCGGACGGGUGAGUAACACGUGGAUAACCUACCUAUAAGACUGGGAUAACUUCGGGAAACCGGAGCUAAUACCGGAUAAUAUAUUGAACCGCAUGGUUCAAUAGUGAAAGACGGCUUUGCUGUCACUUAUAGAUGGAUCCGCGCCGCAUUAGCUAGUUGGUAAGGUAACGGCUUACCAAGGCAACGAUGCGUAGCCGACCUGAGCGGGGGAUCGGCCACACUGGAACUGAGACGCGGUCCAGACUCCUACGGGAGGCAGCAGUAGGGAAGCGGCCGCAAUGGGCGAGAGCCUGACGGAGCAACGCCGCGUGAGUGAUGAAGGUCUUCGGAGCGUAAAACUCGGUUAUUAGGGAAGAACAAAUGUGGAAGUAACUAUGCACGGCGUGACGGUACCUAAUCAGAAAGCCACGGCUAACUACGUG
This 497-nucleotide ribosomal RNA is filed under the name uncultured bacterium. RNAcentral describes it as "partial 16S ribosomal RNA". It matches the Rfam family "Bacterial small subunit ribosomal RNA", at positions 28 to 507 of the family's 1533-position model. The record is from RNAcentral.